RNAcentral lists this ribosomal RNA (252 nucleotides) under uncultured bacterium. RNAcentral's name for it is "partial 16S ribosomal RNA". It matches the Rfam family "Bacterial small subunit ribosomal RNA", at positions 524 to 776 of the family's 1533-position model. The record is from RNAcentral.
UACGUAGGGUGCGAGCGUUAAUCGGAAUUACUGGGCGUAAAGCGUGCGCAGGCGGUUUUGUAAGCCAGAUGUGAAAUCCCCGGGCUUAACCUGGGAAUGGCAUUUGGGACUGCAAGGCUGGAGUUUGGCAGAGGAGACUGGAAUUCCUGGUGUAGCAGUGAAAUGCGUAGAUAUCAGGAGGAAUACCGAUGGCGAAGGCAGGUCUCUGGGCUAUAACUGACGCUCAUGCACGAAAGCGUGGGAGCAAACAGG